UAUCAAGACAUUAUCAGAGAUUG
RNAcentral lists this non-coding RNA (23 nucleotides) under Arabidopsis thaliana (thale cress). The record is from RNAcentral. Lineage: Eukaryota; Viridiplantae; Streptophyta; Magnoliopsida; Brassicales; Brassicaceae.